CUACGGGGUGCUGCAGUGGGGAAUCUUGGACAAUGGGCGCAAGCCUGAUCCAGCCAUGCCGCGUGAGUGAAGAGGGCCUUAGGGUCGUAAAGCUCUUUCGCCAGAGAUGAUAAUGACAGUAUCUGGUAAAGAAACCCCGGCUAACUCCGUGCCAGCAGCCGCGGUAAUACGGAGGGGGUUAGCGUUGUUCGGAAUUACUGGGCGUAAAGCGCGCGUAGGCGGAUUAGUCAGUCAGAGGUGAAAUCCCAGGGCUCAACCCUGGAACUGCCUUUGAUACUGCUAGUCUUGAGUUCGAGAGAGGUGAGUGGAAUUCCGAGUGUAGAGGUGAAAUUCGUAGAUAUUCGGAGGAACACCAGUGGCGAAGGCGGCUCACUGGCUCGAUACUGACGCUGAGGUGCGAAAGUGUGGGGAGCAAACAGGAUUAGAUACCCCAGUAGUC
RNAcentral lists this ribosomal RNA (439 nucleotides) under uncultured bacterium. Its description in RNAcentral is "partial 16S ribosomal RNA". It matches the Rfam family "Bacterial small subunit ribosomal RNA", at positions 339 to 795 of the family's 1533-position model. The record is from RNAcentral.